Molecule: ribosomal RNA, 499 nt
Filed under: uncultured Actinomycetes bacterium
Lineage: Bacteria; Bacillati; Actinomycetota; Actinomycetes
Description: bacterial SSU rRNA
Rfam family: Bacterial small subunit ribosomal RNA
Source: RNAcentral
UGGGGAAUAUUGCACAAUGGGCGCAAGCCUGAUGCAGCGACGCCGCGUGGGGGAUGACGGCCUUCGGGUUGUAAACCUCUUUCAGCAUCGACGAAGCGCAAGUGACGGUAGAUGCAGAAGAAGCACCGGCCAACUACGUGCCAGCAGCCGCGGUAAUACGUAGGGUGCGAGCGUUGUCCGGAAUUACUGGGCGUAAAGAGCUCGUAGGUGGUUUGUCGCGUUGUUCGUGAAAACUCACAGCUUAACUGUGGGCGUGCGGGCGAUACGGGCAGACUGGAGUACUGCAGGGGAGACUGGAAUUCCUGGUGUAGCGGUGGAAUGCGCAGAUAUCAGGAGGAACACCGGUGGCGAAGGCGGGUCUCGUGGGCAGUAACUGACGCUGAGGAGCGAAAGCGUGGGGAGCGAACAGGAUUAGAUACCCUGGUAGUCCACGCCGUAAACGGUGGGUACUAGGGUGUGGGUUUCCUCCGUUGGGAUCCGUGCCGUAGCUAACGCUAAG